UGAGGAAUAUUGGGCAAUGGGCGCAAGCCUGACCCAGCCAUGCCGCGUGAAGGAUGAAUGCCCUAUGGGUUGUAAACUUCUUUUGUACGGGACGAAUCUCUCGAACGUGUUCGGGACUGACUGUACCGUACGAAUAAGCAUCGGCUAACUCCGUGCCAGCAGCCGCGGUAAUACGGAGGAUGCAAGCGUUAUCCGGAUUCAUUGGGUUUAAAGGGUGCGUAGGCGGAAGAAUAAGUCAGUGGUGAAAGCCUGCGGCUUAACCGUAGAAUUGCCAUUGAUACUGUUUUUCUUGAGUAUAGUUGAAGUGGGCGGAAUGUGUAAUGUAGCGGUGAAAUGCUUAGAUAUUACACAGAACACCAAUUGCGAAGGCAGCUCACUAAGCUGUUACUGACGCUGAGGC
RNAcentral lists this ribosomal RNA (400 nucleotides) under uncultured bacterium. RNAcentral's name for it is "bacterial SSU rRNA". It matches the Rfam family "Bacterial small subunit ribosomal RNA", at positions 355 to 752 of the family's 1533-position model. The record is from RNAcentral.